AUCUUGGGNGCACGCUGGCGGCGUGCUUAACACAUGCAAGUGGAGCGACGAACCAGGCUUCGGCCUGGGGNAGAGCCGCGAACGGGUGAGUAACACGUGGGUAACGUGCCCCGAUGACCGGGACAACCCGGGGAAACCCGGGCUAAUACCGGAUGUGCUGCCCUCACAUCAGUGAGGGUUGGAAAGGGAGCUUCGGCCUCCGCAUCGGGAUCGGCCCGCGGCCCAUUAGCUUGUUGGUGAGGUAACGGCUCACCAAGGCUGCGAUGGGUAGCUGGUCUGAGAGGACGAUCAGCCACACUGGGACUGAGACACGGCCCAGACUCCUACGGGAGGCAGCAGUGGGGAAUCUUGCGCAAUGCGCGAAAGCGUGACGCAGCAACGCCGCGUGGGGGAAGAAGGCCUUCGGGUUGUAAACCCCUUUCAGGAGGGACGAAGCCGGGGCGGUGAAUAGCCGACUCCGGUGACGGUACCUCCAGAAGAAGCCCCGGCUAACUACGUGCCAGCAGCCGCGGUAAUACGUAGGGGGCAAGCUNUUNUCCGGAAUCAUUGGGCNUAAAGCGCGUG
RNAcentral lists this ribosomal RNA (564 nucleotides) under uncultured bacterium. RNAcentral describes it as "bacterial SSU rRNA". It matches the Rfam family "Bacterial small subunit ribosomal RNA", at positions 22 to 571 of the family's 1533-position model. The record is from RNAcentral.